Molecule: long non-coding RNA, 2144 nt
Organism: Bubalus bubalis (water buffalo)
Lineage: Eukaryota; Metazoa; Chordata; Mammalia; Artiodactyla; Bovidae
Exons: 2
Source: RefSeq, a predicted model, not a curated record
CCAUCCAGGGAUCGAACCUGGGUCUCCUGCAUUGCAGGCAGAUUCCUUACCAACUGAGCUACCAGAGAAACCCUAUAUAUAUAAUUGACAUCUUCUGGAAAAGAAAACCAAGAGAUGAAAUGACCUGCCAAGAUUACCAACUAGUGAGUAACAGACUUUGUACCUUAAACUUGAAGUUCCUCCUAAUUCUUAUGAAAUAAUCUACCCAGUCUUCAAACUUUUUAAAAGUAUAGUAUGAAUGAAAGAAAAUGAAAUCGCUUUAUUUUUCACUAUAUUAAUUAGACUAUCAAGGCCAGUUUCUUCAUAGCUAGAACAUCUGAGGAAAAUGUGUGGGAAAUGAUUAUUAAUACUAAGCAAUAUGUACCAACUUAGAAGUAAAGGGCUACAGUUAAAGUCUUAACCCAGUGAGCUUUGAAAAUGGUGAUGCUGGAGGGUUGGGUGGAAGAAAAUGGCAGAAUUUUUUCUUCAUUCUGUUUCUAGCAUAUUUCAAUUUCAUUUUCUAAAGCACACAAUGACCACACAAUUUAACUUUUGACAAUACUUGUAACAGAUGUUUUGUUAUUACAGCUUCAAAGGUCAGUCAAGAAAGUAGGUAAGUCAAUAAUUCAAUACUGUCAAAAACUAAGAGCCCACCCUGACCCCACCAUUGCAGAAUGUGGUGCUAGAAGUUGUGGCUAGAUCCUAAAUUUUAUAGAUGAGGAAACUGAGAUCCGGAGGAGAUUAGUCAUUUACCAGGGGUCACAACUUAAACCUCUUUCCUUUGAGACUGGAAUUGACAUAUAUACACUGAGAUGUAUAAAACAGAUAACUAAUGAGAACCUACUGUAUAGCACAGGGAACUAUCUUAUAGUUCCUACAAACUCAGUGCUGUGUGGUGGACUAAGUGGGAAGGAAAUCCAAAAAAGAUGGGAUACAUACAUAGCUGAUUCACUUUGCUGCACAGCAAAAAGUAACACAAUAUUGUAAAGCUAGUAUUCUCCAAUAAAAAGAAAAAAGAAAAAACUCUCCCCUUGUGUUGCAGGGGGGUUCAAGGUCCUACUGAUGUUCCCUUUUUACUGGGCGAAUCAGCUUACUUUCUAAGUUGGAGAUCACAAGAGUGGCCUCAUGUUAGGAAGGCCACUGGGGAGCCACACGAAAGCUACACUGUCCCCAGUGGUAAGAGCUAGGGCCCAGAAUACAGAGGGCUGGCAGUGGCAGUUUUCCAGAUAACAGUGCUAAGAUCUACUAGUGGAUUCUGAGUUAUUUUUGAUGCAUUCUUUGCUUAGUUAAAGGAGCAACUGGACUAGGCUUCUAGCAAAUGGGUUCUAGUCCCAAUUCUAAUAUGAACCAAUGAUAAUAAGGCAAUAGCUAUUGUUUUCUGGGCACUUAGUAAGUGCCUUGCUAUGUGUCUCACUAUGUGUUAAAUAUUUUAUAACCAUUACUUCAUUUAAUCUUCAUAACCAUCACCAGAUGCUGUUGUUAUUUUUAGUUCACUGAUGUGGAAAAUAAGCUGUAUGCCCAAGGUCAUAGUCCAGGUUUGUUAAGCUCCAAAGCCCCUGCGUUUAACCAUUAUGCCUACCUGAUGUGAAGCUAUUACCUCAACUGUAGCAUCUGUCCUACGAAACAGUAAUCUUGAUGAUGGCUCACACCAAAGAGAGCUAACUAUGUAGCCAGCAGUAUUCUAAAUACGUUGUGUAUAGUACUUCGUUUUUACCAGAUGGGUACUGUUUUCAUCUCCAUUUUACAGAUGAGGAAACUAAGGACAAAAUCCUAGUGAUGUAACCUGCCCAAGGCUAUCAGAUAGGACAGUAGAGGCCCUAUUUUGAUCCCAGGACAUUUGGAUGUAGAAGCCACACCCAUAAUCAUCAUGCCUUCUGUAGAAGAUGUUACAUCCAGAAUGGAAACUCGGUCCUCCUGCUGCCCUGGCUGUGUCCCUGCUUCCUUUAUUUAUCGGCUUGUACCUUCAAGAGAAGCACUAUUCUGAGAACAGAGCCCACCUUGGAGUCUAAAAAUUGAGGAACUAAGAACCUGAUGGACGCAAGUGUGCUCAUUCUCAGGGGGAGUUUCCAAGUUAUGUGUCAUCUAACAGGUUUCCUGUUCUCUUCCCGUAAGAACAAAGAACAGACAUAAAACAUCCUAAUAAAUACUGACUGUGAUAAUCACAU